CCAUCUGGCCUAAUACUGACGCUGAGGUACGAAAGCAUGGGGAGCAAACAGGAUCUAGAUACCCUGGUAGUCCAUGCCGUAAACGAUGUCUACUAGCCGUUGGGGCCUUUGAGGCUUUAGUGGCGCAGCUAACGCGAUAAGUAGACCGCCUGGGGAGUACGGUCGCAAGACUAAAACUCAAAUGAAUUGACGGGGGCCCGCACAAGCGGUGGAGCAUGUGGUUUAAUUCGAUGCAACGCGAAGAACCUUACCUGGCCUUGACAUACUAAGAACUUUCCAGAGAUGGAUUGGUGCCUUCGGGAACUUAGAUACAGGUGCUGCAUGGCUGUCGUCAGCUCGUGUCGUGAGAUGUUGGGUUAAGUCCCGCAACGAGCGCAACCCUUUUCCUUAUUUGCCAGCGGGUCAUGCCGGGAACUUUAAGGAUACUGCCAGUGACAAACUGGAGGAAGGCGGGGACGACGUCAAGUCAUCAUGGCCCUUACGGCCAGGGCUACACACGUGCUACAAUGGUCGGUACAAAGGGUUGCUACCUCGCGAGAGGAUGCUAAUCUCAAAAAGCCGAUCGUAGUCCGGAUCGCAGUCUGCAACUCGACUGCGUGAAGUCGGAAUCGCUAGUAAUCGCGGAUCAGAAUGCCGCGGUGAAUACGUUCCCGGGCCUUGUACACACCGCCCGUCACACCAUGGGAGUUUGUUGCACCAGAAGUAGGUAGUCUAACCGCAAGGAGGACGCUUACCACGGUGUGGCCGAUGACUGGGGUGAAGUCGUAACAAAGGUAA
This 777-nucleotide ribosomal RNA is filed under the name Acinetobacter sp. BAB-5418. Its description in RNAcentral is "bacterial SSU rRNA". It matches the Rfam family "Bacterial small subunit ribosomal RNA", at positions 725 to 1499 of the family's 1533-position model. The record is from RNAcentral. Lineage: Bacteria; Pseudomonadati; Pseudomonadota; Gammaproteobacteria; Moraxellales; Moraxellaceae.